AUCCUAUCACUGGGGCUGAAGAGCCCUAUUUCCCAGAGACUCAACGACUGAGUCGUACUCUAACUGGUAACAUGGUCACCAUUCUAAUGAUUGCCAUCGUUUUGAUAUUCCUAUUAGCCAUUAUCCUGUAUCGAACCAUCCUAAGCAUCAUUAUCUACAGAUCACAGAAUGCCUUCUUCAUAUUUUCAGCUUUCCUGAUUGCCUUCACGUCUGAUUUCCUGCCGCGGCUCUUUUAUCGCUACACUAGGCAGCAUGAGAGGAUACGUCAACUUCACCCUCUCAGCGGCCCCUGCAAACUUCACCCAAAGACACAUGACAUGCAGGUGAAGAUCAAACUGUUUCUAUAAUGCGGUACUGUUCCAUAGUUUGAAGUUGGUAAGA
Molecule: long non-coding RNA, 381 nt
Filed under: Sinocyclocheilus grahami
Lineage: Eukaryota; Metazoa; Chordata; Actinopteri; Cypriniformes; Cyprinidae
Description: lncRNA (ENSSGRG00000011666.1)
Source: RNAcentral